Dama dama (fallow deer) is the source of this 1701-nucleotide long non-coding RNA. RefSeq lists it as uncharacterized. The record is from RefSeq and is a predicted model, not a curated record. NCBI's taxonomy places the organism in Eukaryota, Metazoa, Chordata, Mammalia, Artiodactyla, Cervidae. The transcript has 4 exons.
UUAAAAAGCAAAGUAUGCUCCACAGGCCCAUGCUGGAGGUAGUGGUAAACCAUCGAUAUGACCCUCCUGAAGUUACUCUCCUUUUUAAAGAAACCGAGAUUGAAGAACUUGGACUGUAGUCCACAGGCUCCUCUGUCCAUGGAAUUUUCCAGGCAAGAAUACUGGAAUGGGUGGAGAUUCCCGUCUCCAGGGGAUCUUCCUGACCCAGGGAUCAAACCUGGGUCUUCUGCGUUGCAGGCAGAUUCUUUACUGUCUGAGCCACCAGAGGAGGAGGCAAAGCAGGUUGAGAUGGACAUCUCUGGCAGCCUCUUCCCAUCCCCGGGCAGGUUUUCUCGUCUGAGCAGCUACUGCAGCAGGUCCUGGAGACAGACUCCAGGGCUGAGACCACGGGGACUGGGCAAGGUUGAGGGUGAAUUUUGCCCUGUGAGGAGGGCCCCUCCCACGGAGUCCAGGCCUAGGCCAUGGCUAAGGGGCACCUCAAGAAACUGUGAGGUCCUGAUUUAGAUAUGCAGCUGACACCACCAUUAUGGCAGAAAGUGAAGAAGAACUAAAGAGCCUGUUGAUGAAAGUGAAAGAGGAGAGUGAAAAAGUUGGCUUAAAGCUCAGCAUUCAGAAAACUAAGAUCAUGGCAUCUGGUCCCAUCACUUCAUGGCAAAUAGAUGGGGAAACAGUGGAAACAGUGGCUGACUUUAUUUUCUGGGCUCCAAAAUCAGUGCGGAUGGUGAUUGCAGCCAUGAAAUUAAAAAACACUUGCUCCUCGGAAGGAAAGCUAUGACCAACCUAGACAGCAUAUCAAAAAGCAGAGAUAUUACUUUGCCAACAAAGGUCCGUCUAGUCAAGGCUACAGUUUUUCCAGUGGUCAUGUAUGGAUGUGAGAGUUGGACUGUGAAGAAAGCUGAGCACUGAAAAAUUGAUGCUUUUGAACUGUGGUGUUGAAGAAGACUCUUGAGAGUCCCUUGCACUGCAAGGAGAUCCAACCAGUCCAUUCUAAAGGAGAUAAGUCCUGAGUGUUCAUUGGAAUGUCUGAUGUUGAAGCUGAAACUCCAAUACUUUGGCCACCUGAUGCAAAGAGUUGACUCAUUGGAAAAGACCCUGAUGCUGGGAAAGAUUGAAGGCAGGCAGAGAAGGGGACGACAGAGGAUGAGAUGGUUGGAUGGCAUCAUCAACACAAUGGACAUGGGUUUGGGUAGACUCCAGGAGUUGGUGAUGGACAGGGAGGCCUGGCAUGCUGUGGUUCAUGGGGUCACAAAGAGUCAGACACAACUGAGCGACUGAACUGAACUGAACUGAAUAUGUGCCAGACACUGAGCUGGGGUGAAGUAGCCACAGGGAACCAGACAAGGAGCUUGGGUCUAGCUCUGAAGAUUGAUCAUGAACAAGCAGUUAUACCAACCUGUGAUGAGUAUUAUGACGGGGAAACAAGGUGACGAAAAAUGAAUUUAUGUUAAUUAGAGUUAGGUGCUGCUGUAUAUAACAGACAACUAAAAUAACUAUCGCCUAAAUGAAAUACAUGUUUAUCUCUUUCCCACAUAAUAGACAGCCAAGGCUGGAAUGGCAGAUCCACAUGUCAUCAAAAGCAGGGGCUAUUAUAAUUUUGUUCCACCAUGCUAGCUUCCAUCUUCAAUGUUACCUCAUGAUCCAAGUUGGCUGCUGGAGCUCCAACAAUUGUUUCUGAGUUGAGGGCUGUAAAAAAAAAAAAAA